GAAGGGAAUGUGACUGCCCCACUCAAGCACAAGCAUGUGUACAAAUCCGGAUUUACGAGAAAGGGACAAAAAAGGAGAUGGUAAAUGGCAUGGAUGGAAAUGUUAAGGGCGACACUGGUGAGUCAGCCACAUGUACUGCCAACCCCUAGUCAGAGUGACCAGGCAACAGCCACAGCCUUGCUGUCUCCACCGCGGGAGCAAAGCACCUUGGAGUAGGAUGAGAAGCAUGGUUUCUCUGAAGCUUUGGAGGCUGUCCUGGAAUUCACUCAGUAGACCAGGCUCACCUCGAACUCAUAGAGAUCCCCCUGCCUCUGCCUCCCGAGUGCUGGGAUUAAAGGGGUGCAUCACCACUGCCUGGCUACACAACUGUUUUCUAUGAAGAUAGCAAAUGACAAUAUUUCAUUGCUACUAUUGGAAUGAAAACCCGAUUAUCAAACGGAUACAGAGACUAAACAUGUGGAGUGCUGAGAGACUCUCUCAGCUAAGACCAAAGACCUUGAAAAACAGAAAAAGGCUUGAGCAGAAGGUAGCUGUCUUGUCUCUGUGGCUGAUAGGGACUAGCUUGAAAAUAAUAUAGUUAAUCAUCCCCCAUGCUUCUGGUAAUAAACAAUUGGAAUAUUUAUCUUGAAAGCCAGGUCAAGAUGUUACUGAUAUUAGGACCUCCUACUUUUUUUUAAAGCCAGAAUU
Molecule: long non-coding RNA, 687 nt
Filed under: Cricetulus griseus (Chinese hamster)
Lineage: Eukaryota; Metazoa; Chordata; Mammalia; Rodentia; Cricetidae
Description: lncRNA (ENSCGRG00015038190.1)
Source: RNAcentral